GAGUAUUCAAACUCAGAAUAUCUUAGACAAUAUUAUAACACUCCUCAUGGCUAGUUCUUUGGGUUUUGGCUUUUGUACGAUAACAAGCUUGGUUCUUGUUCUGUUUCUGAGUUCUGUUUCUGCUCAGCACACAAGGGCUUUCUUUGUUUUUGGUGAUUCACUUGUGGACAGUGGCAACAAUGACUUUCUUGCAACCACAGCUCGUGCUGAUGCUCCACCCUAUGGCAUUGACUUCCCAACACACCGACCCACUGGACGCUUCUCUAAUGGCCUAAACAUCCCUGACCUAAUCAGUAUGAAAAUUUGUUACAAUUUUGCAAAUCAAUUCAAUCAGUUUUGACUAAUAAUACUACAUGUUAACACAUGCCUAUUUAUUUCUACCAUUACAUGCAUGCAUGGCUAUAACAUUAAUCUUAGCUCGGUUAGAAAUUUUACAUAAAUUUGUUGAGUGAAUCCAUAUUAAUGAUUUUAUAUUAUAUUUCUAACAUGUGCCUAUAACCUUGCUCAACUUUUGUUUAUAUUGCAGGUUUGGAGCUUGGUUUAGAGCCUACUCUACCAUAUUUGAGCCCUUUACUAGUUGGAGAGAAGCUUCUAAUUGGUGCCAAUUUUGCAUCUGCAGGGAUUGGCAUUCUCAAUGAUACAGGAAUUCAGUUUGUAAGCUCAAUUUGUUCAUUUACUUAUAUUGCUUAAUUCCCUUGUUUUUUUCUUGUCAGAAUGGAACUAUAUAAAAUUGAUUCAUGGGUGUUGAGAGUAACAUUAACAUUUUUUAUUUUGGUUUGGUAGCUGCACAUUAUUCACAUAGAGAAGCAACUCAAGCUCUUCCAACAGUAUCAGAAAAGAGUAAGUGCACACAUUGGCAGAGAGGGAACUCGGAACUUAGUGAACAGAGCACUUUUUCUCAUCACUCUUGGAGGCAAUGAUUUUGUCAACAAUUACUACUUGGUGCCUUAUUCAGCAAGAUCUCGCCAAUAUUCUCUCCCUGACUACGUGCGCUAUAUCAUAUCCGAGUACCGCAAAGUUCUGAGGGUAACUCUGAACUCUAAACCCUAAACUUAAUAAUUGAGUGCUAAUGUCAUAUCGCAUAUCUUACAAAUUUGAUAUGUAUAUAUUGUAUCCACAACAUAAGACUUCGAAAGUCAUUACUAAUUUGUGUCGUCAUCACCUAAUAGCUUGAGUUUUUUUGGAAUAGGUAGUUUAUGAUACAAUAGUGACAAAAUUGAAUAGGCAGUUUGUUAAGGACAUUUAAUACAAUGCAUGGGCAUCAUUAAAGGGUAAAAUGCCUAUCUGAUUAAUUAGAGUCAUGGUCAUGUUUCAAUAAGGCUAGUGAGUGUAUUGGUACAGAAGGCAUAUAUGUAUUAUGUUUUGGUCGGUGAGGUAUACAUACCAAAUUAAUUAUUUUGUUUGCCCCUUCCAAACAUGUUAUUAUUAAAUGCUGUUUCUCACAUGACAUCCCCAUCUUAGCUAUGCCUUAAUUAACAUAGGGAAACCUAUGUUUGAGAAACAUUUUUGAUAAAUAAAUGCUUGGAAAUUUAUGCAGAAGAUGUAUGAUUUGGGAGCUCGUAGGGUUCUGGUAACGGGUACAGGGCCAAUGGGGUGUGUUCCAGCAGAACUAGCUAUGAGAAGCAGAACUGGUGAUUGUGAUGUGGAACUCCAGAGAGCUGCAUCGUUGUACAAUCCACAACUCGUUAAUAUGAUCAAAGGACUCAACCAAGAGCUUGGUGCUGAUGUGUUUAUUGCUGCUAAUGCUUAUCAGAUGCACAUGGACUUCAUUUCCAACCCCAGAGCUUAUGGUAUGUGCCAUGCAACUAGCUGCCUAGAACUUUUCAAUUUAAAAUUAUAUGAUGUUUGAGAAAAAAAAUUAGUAUAUCAGUAAAAACACACACACACACACACACACACACACACACACACACACUUUUGAGCUACAAUUAGUAGCACUAAAUUUUUCAUUUAUCCUAAAUUCUCAAUUUAUCAUGUAGUCCGACCUUUCAGCCAUUUUUUUAUCAGUUCUAAAUUAUACCCUUGGCAUUAUUUAAAUUGGUUCUAGAAAUUCUAUAAUUUGCCUAAAAACAAGUUCAAUGGAUCAUGAACAUUGCUAGCAAUAUACUUUUAAGCACACUUAUUUCAACUCAUUCUCUUUUUUGUUGGAUGAGUACCUGUCCCACUAAAUCAUAUCAAUACAUUUAUUUUUAUGGGACACAUACUCUUUGUUAAAGAAUUUCAUUUAAAAAAUAUGACUUGAAGAAGCAAAUGGGUCCUCUUGGCCACACUUCUCUCUAGCAUGCCUCCAACAAAGAUGUUAACCAUUGUUACUAAGAUUGCUAAAUGAGAAAAUUAAAUUGGUCAAUAUGGAACACAAUGAAUUAUUACAUGACAGCUGCAGAUGAUUCAAAUCGAUUAAUAACGUUUUGUUAGCCUCGCUCAAUAUAAAGCUAUCAUAAUUAAUUUUAUAAUUGAUAUUAAAAACUUAUUAACUUAUUAAAAAACCACUUAAAGCAUGUUAUUUUUUUGAACUCCACUUAAAACAUGUUUAAUAAUUAAUAAAUAUCACAGACUUAAAGUGUUUUGUUUUAAAGAAAUAAAAAUUAUUUUCUUUUUAUUUUAUUGGGUCAAAUUGUUAUAAAAGUUUGAAACUAUUGCACAAGCAAAAAUGAAGCCUAAUUUCCCCUUUUGUGUGAAAAGCCCAAAAUCCCUUUAACCAUGUUGACAAACAAUACUUUUUGGGCUUUCAGGUUUUGUGACAUCAAAGAUAGCAUGCUGCGGGCAAGGCCCAUACAAUGGGAUUGGGCUGUGCACACCGGCCUCAAACCUGUGCCCAAACAGAGACAUUUACGCAUUUUGGGAUCCAUUCCAUCCAUCAGAGAGAGCAAGUAGAAUCAUUGUUCAACAGAUCCUGCGUGGCACCACUGAGUACAUGCACCCCAUGAAUCUCUCCACUAUCAUGGCCCUUGAUUCCAGGACUUAAUCUCAAUUAGGUUCUUGCUUUUUCUCACUACUAGUAUCUAAGCUUAGUUGUGUUCUAUUCUAUUAUCCAUGUGUGUGUGUGCGCGCGCUUUAUUUAUGCGUUCUUUUGAGUUUUGAUGAUCUCCUAGCUAGCUAGUGGUUUGGAGUGCAUUGGGUGCAACGAAAUAAUGCACCGGUUUGUAGUUUGUCAUAUGAUCUUGUGUUGCCAAUAAUAAAAAUGUCUAUCUUUCAAUUGUUAUUUUGUGAAGAUUGAUUGAUGGUAUAUUUCAAUUUAACUUUUAUUUUUUGAGAUAUUUUUAUAAAUAUUUCUUUCAAUAUAGGCUAUUGAUUAUAAAUAUUUGGGAGAGUUUGAGAAAAUGUAUUGAUUAAGAACUAAAUAAUUCAAUAGCCAUCCUCUUAUGUAAAAUGCAGCUUCUAUUUUUUUUCUUUCUUUUCUAUGGAAUUAUUGUGGAAUAUUGAAGUAAGAGAUAGGGACCUAUAGAAUGAAUGACGAUCACUUUCUUUGUUUGGUUUUAUAUGAAGAAAAUGGGAGAGGAGGGUCUAGGCCCCAAAUUUGAGCUUUUUGACGUGGAAAGAAAAAAAACAUUUGGACAAUAUAUAAAUGUUUUGGUCCAAAAAUUGUCCUAAUCUCAUCAUAAAUAAGUAGAAGCAAUUUCAUAAUUCUAUCUGUUAUACCUUUUUUUAUUGCAUCACUUAAUCUAAAUAGCUUAAAACCUCAUAAUUUUAUCCUUAUUUUGUCUUCUUUGACAUCUUUAUCAUAUUUAUUCUCCUUCUUGACUUCUAAAUUUAAACAAGGAGGAGCAUUUUUGUGUGAAGACAUGCAAGCACAAAGACAUUGCAUAACCCCCUCUCCCUGCCUCCAGAAAAAAAAUGCAUUGAAGAGCCAACCAUAGAGGGUGGCAACUAUAAGAAACUUCGCUGAAAUAAAUAUCUAUGGGCCAUGUCAGUUUCUUUAUAUGACAUUAACGCAGCCUCCAAAUGCGAUAUACGGAUUAGAUUAAAUUCAAUUUAGCCAAAUUGCAAUUUUUAGCUUCAUCAUUGUUUUGCAAAAAUGAGCAAAUCACAAAUUAUUAUUUAUUUUUCAGAAAAUCUAGACCACGUCAUGUUUCGUAACACUUUCACAAUGUGCGUCAUUAGUGUCAAACAGCUUAUACAAUAUUAACACUGUCAUCAUGGCCAUCACUAACCCGCUUAAGUGACGUAGUAUGAUUUAACAGAAAUUCAAACAUAUAAAAUCGAGGAAGUGUGUGAUAUGAGGCAUGAGUUUUGAGUUCAAGUUCAUGGCUUAAUUUGAUCAAAUUUACUAAAUGAAUAGCCGAAAAAGUUGGUUGAAAAAGAUCAAUUAUGUACGUGUAGAUCAAAUUAACACUAUAUCGUGGUGAAGGGGUCAAGGGGGGGUGUUAGUUGAACGGUUUCUUCAGCCAAUUAUGUGAUAUCAAGGGUAUUAGGUGUAGAGUGGUUGGUUAUAAAGGCCAUACAGCUCAUACACUUUUACUUCGAUCGUUCUUGAAUUAAUUACCUUAUAAUAAAGUGGUCCUUAUAAUUCAUCAAUCAUCUAUGGAACCAAUCAAAAUUGAAUAUCGUUGUCACUAUUAAUGUGCCUAUGUGUCUCCGUAUACGCCCACUGCUUCCACUAUGAUAGAAAGAUUUAGUAACUCCUAGAAAAAAAACAUGAUGCUUUCUUUUAAGAUAUGUCACACUUAGAUGGAUAUAUAGUCAUUUAAGGAGUAAUCUUCUAUUUUCUUUAAGGGAGGAUGGGUACUCAUUCACCUUUAUUUUGUAUUCUGCUUAUUAGUAGUAUUCAACUUGAUGACUUGAACAGAAUUAAUUAAUUGUUAGUCAAUUUUUGAAAGCCCUUUUAGGUUUUAAAUGAUAUAUAUGGGUGUUUGACUAUUUAUUUAGAGUAUUACUAUAUAUCAUAUAUCAUGAUUUUUGAGAAUUGAUGUUUUAAAAAGUGACAUCCAUUGCUCAAUCGAUGGGAGGAACCAAGAAAAAUAGGUAGGGGCGGAAAUUUAACCUAAUAAAUAAAAUUAUUGAUGAUUAAUUGAGAUAUGUAUGAACUAUGAAGCACAAAAAAUUUAAAGACACGACUUCCAUAUCAAAUAUACGACUUUGUUAAGUAACUAUUUUGUUUCUUGAGAGAUAAUUUCAGUUCAUAUGUGUUACGAGAUAAUUUCAAUGAAAAAAUGAACUUUAAUACAACAAACACAAAAGUAACCCCUUACUUUUGUUAGGUUAAAUGUGCUUUUAAGUUGAUCUCAACUUGAAUCCAAACACAUCUUCAAUGUUAGUUCUUAUUGUUUUUUCUUUCGUCGUUUCAGUUAGAUACAAGUGAAUGAAUGUGUGCUGAAUUUAGAAAAUAGCAUGGUUAAUUUGCAUAUAAUUUUGAGUGAGAAUGCUAUUUCCCAAUAUUACCAAUUUUGAUGCUUCUAUAUUAUAUUUACUUAAUUAUCUUCAAUUAUAUCCAUCUUAAUAAGGACCUGUACUCCACACAGUAGACAUAAGCAUAGUCCUAACUUAAUGCUUCCAAACAUGGCACAUUGAAUCCUGAAUUGCACCACUAACAGUACUAUCUAGUAUCUAAGCAACUUGAGCUUUACAAGGGUGUUUUAAAUCCUGGAAAUAGGACCUGAACUAUUUAACAAAUAUACAGCAAAACAAUAGAUCAGUAGUUUUAAAUUUAGGCCACUCUACCAUUUUGCAAGGUGUAGUACUACUGCAUUAAAUUGAACAAUUCAUACCAAGUCACCAACAAUAGCAGCUCAUGAAAGAACAUAAUUAAUGCAUCUCUCUAACUACUAUAUGGUAGAACAGAGCUUAUAGGAUUCCUUUUAAACAAGCAGUUGAUUUUGAAACUCAACUAAAUAAUUGAUGUGUAAAUGGUAAACCCCUCGACAGUUGAUGUAAUCAAAACCAUAGAUCAGAAAGAGUAACAAGUCUAGCGUCAAGCCAAUCAUAGGAACAUUUUUUUGGUUGAAAUCAAAUCAUCAUUGCAACAUUAAAAGACUGCUUUUGGUUAAACCAGAAGACUAAUUUGAUAAUUUAACAUUUGAAGACUUCAGUAACAAAGAUUUCUCCAACAACUGCCAUUAUUGAUGGAAAUUAAUGGUUUAUAUAUCAGAAUGAGUACCAUUAUGCAUAUACUCAAUGCUCUUUUAUAUGAAUAAUUUUUUUGAAAAAGUUGCACAAAUAAAUACGAUUGAUUGAAAGAAUGAAAGCAGAGCAUACAAUCCUAAGAAACAACUUUUACAUUGACCUUGCCAUUUGCUCUUAGGUACUUCUACUUUUUAGUUUUUAUACUUCCUUUCAUAACAAUUUCUUCUAGGGGUUCUCUUAAUCAACCAAAAUAAAUAUGAGGUAAAAUCAUUUUAGUAUUAGGUGUUCAAGUAAUAUUUUGACAUGUGUUAUCAACUGGAAUUUCUUAAAGCGCAUAUCAAAAUUUUACUAAAUUCAAAAGUAGGUAGAAGGAGAAAAUGUAGCAAGUGACUGAUUUGGUAAAUUAUUAAGAACAUAGAUCAUAAAGCUUGACCAUCGUCGCAAGUGGUGGUGUGGAGCCAUGACCACAACCGCGAAAGGUGGUUUUAGGGUUUAGGUAAGAGGAAGAGAAAGAGGAAGAAGAAGAAUGAGAAGAGAAUGAUUCCAAACUGAUGGAAAAAGUUAAAGGAAUCAAAGUUGAUUAUAUUUUUUUUUAUCAAACCGAUAUUAAAAAGUCUAUGUGGACACUUCUUUAUUUGACGAAGAUUAAUUAACUUACCACGUGAGAUGAGACGGAGAAAAAAACCAUCCAGCUGAAAAUUAAAACAUCAUUAAGGACUUUUUUGUAUAACUUUUUUUAAGGGACUAAAAGUGAUGUAAAAGUUUUUUUUUUUUUUUGACCAAAACCGAGUUAAAAACAUAUUUAACCCAUUCAUAUACAUUAAAUUUCAAACAAAUUGUACUAUGUCGGUAACAGGACACAAAAUGCCAACGUGUUUCAUAAUUGAACUUGAGUGGUAAAAUAAUGCCCGUGCAUCAGAAGCAUGCAUGACACGAAAUUGCCUUUUUUUCCUUUUGUAGCAAAAAAUUAAAGAGCCUCGUGUCCAGUCUUUACACAUUAUAUCAGAUCAAGCGUGACAUUGUUAGAUUCAUGCAUUGCAUACUAUACAGUAUACACUGUCCUGCAUUACCCUGCUGAUUUGACCUCAAUUUUCACUGCAUGCAACUACCAUGUCUGUAGUAGUGUACUGCCAUAUGCAUUUUUCUGUGUGGGCCAUUCAACAGGUUCUGUUUCAAAAAUCAUAGAAUCUUCAUACUAUAUAACACCCCUUCCCAAUUCCUCUGACAUAUCAAUUAAAGUUGUUUAUUUGCAGAGUUCAAAGAACCUUUUGAACUCUGUACUUCAUUUUUCCUCUACAACUCCUCUGUCUCUUUAGUAUCCAUGGCUAGUUUGGCAUGUUACAUUGUUUUAGUGGUGGCACUAGCGAGUGGUUUCAGAGGUGCAGAGGCAGCACGUGCUUUCUUUGUGUUUGGAGAUUCACUUGUUGAUAAUGGCAACAACAACUACUUGGCAACUACUGCAAGAGCUGAUUCUCCUCCUUAUGGCAUUGAUACCCCAAAUGGCAGACCCACUGGCCGUUUCUCCAAUGGCCGCAACAUUCCUGAUUUUAUCAGUUCAGUCAAUUAACUUCUUUUAAUUCUUGCACUUUAACAUUUUUAAUAUGUUUGGUUCCACCGUGACAUGCUCAAAUUCCAUGCAUUCAGGAAAAUUGAAAUUCUGAAUUCAAUGAAGUCAGAGAACCUUAAUUGUUUGAUCUUGAUCCGACGUCUCUAAGUUAAAUAAGUUCUAUUUAAAUUGGAGUCGUCUGAUAAUCAGACGGUCAAACAUGUCUAACUUCAGUGAAUGCAUGAAUCUUUGAAUUUAGGGAAUCCGAAUUCAAAAUGCUCUAGCAUCAUUUAACUUCUAAGCCUUAAAUUCUGCAUAAAUUGUGAAACCAAACACGCCAUUGUUACAUGUGUUUGCUUUGGAAGGUAUGAGUAUAAUGUAGUUGAUUACUCAUAUUUCUAUAUUUGUGUGAUUUUGUAGGUGAACAACUUGGGGCAGAACCCACUUUGCCUUAUUUGAGCCCUGAACUCAAUGGGGAUAAUUUGCUUGUUGGAGCCAAUUUUGCCUCUGCUGGCAUUGGAAUUCUCAAUGACACUGGAAUCCAAUUUGUAAGUGAAAUUGAAGAUCAAGAUUAAUAGCAUGUUUGGAUCAGUUUACUUUAUCUUAGAAUCAAUUUUGACAGUUCGAAGCUACUCACAUGAACUUCUCCUCGUACAAUAGUACCAUUUGGUUCCACAAACAAAAUAUUGGUUGUUGGAUGAUUAUAUGUGUAUUAUAAUUUGUUGCAAUGCAAUUGCAGAUUAACAUAAUCAGAAUAUUCAGACAGUUGGAGUACUUCGAUGAAUAUCAGCAGAGGGUGAGUGCUCUAAUUGGACCUGAAGAAACUCAGCGCUUAGUAAAUGGAGCACUGGUCCUCAUCACUCUUGGAGGCAACGAUUUUGUGAAUAACUAUUACUUGGUGCCUUUCUCGGCAAGAUCUCGCCAGUACUCUUUACCGGAUUACGUGAGGUACUUGAUCUCCGAGUACAAGAAAGUUCUCAGGGUAAAGUCUUCACCUGCUCAUAUUAGCUUAUAAAUAAACGCUUAUAUAUAAAAUUUAUUUUAUAUAUUUUAUAUAUAUUUCAAUAAGUUUCUCAAAUUAACUUAACUGCAGAGCCUGUAUGAUAGAGGAGCACGAAGGGUCCUGGUGACAGGAACGGGUCCAUUGGGCUGUGUUCCGGCAGAAUUGGCAAUGCGAAGCCGAAACGGUGAAUGCUCUCAGGAGCUGCAGCGUGCGGCAGCAUUGUUCAACCCUCAACUUGUUCAGAUUCUGCAACAACUUAAUAGCGAAAUUGGUUCAAAUGUCUUUAUUGGAGCCAACACAAGACAAAUGAACAAUGACUUCAUCAGUAACCCUGGAGCUUUUGGUAACUAUUAAAAUACAAACAUUACCUUCUACAAAAUUAUCACUGCCUCUUAUAUAGUAUACGGCAUAAAUAUACAGUACAUAUUUGACAUUAUUGAGCAUUAGAGUAUGAAUACAAAUACUAACUGAGGUUCCUAAGGUUUUUCUUGUGACAGUACUUGUUGGAGGCAGGGCCUAUGGGGAAAUCAUUUUUUCCCUUUCCUUCUUUUUAAUGUCUCUAAAUAGUAAAUACAUAAUGUCACUGUCAGUAGGUCUCAAUUCUUAAAUGAUAACUAGAUAUUUUUAUGAAAUUUUAGAAAAUAUAAGCAUUUCCUUCUCUUUUUCUUUUUCUUUCUGUAAAGUUCAAAUGAUCACCACAUAUCAUAACAUGAUCGACAGACAUAUCAUUUUUGGCGACAUCUUUCAAACAUGCAUUUUUGCGACAAUUUUUAUGAUUUUAUCCCCACAAAAUAUUGUGAAGAUUAAAAACCGCAAUAAAUGAGUAUCUCUGAAGGGUAUCACCGUAUAUGUGUAUGUAUAAUCAUUCUUCCUCUAGCAUCUAAAUCUAAAUGAAGACAAACAAUUAGAUAUGGCAUAAAUGAUUGAUGAUAGUACUAUACUAAAGCAGUUGAUGUUUUGGUGAUGCAGGAUUUGUUACAUCAAAAGUAGCAUGCUGUGGUCAAGGACCUUAUAAUGGUCUUGGACUGUGCACUACAGCAUCCAACUUGUGCCCAGACCGUGAUGUUUAUGCAUUUUGGGAUCCCUUCCAUCCAUCAGAAAGGGCCAACAGCUUCAUUGUUCAACAGAUCAUGUCAGGCAACACAGAGUACAUGUAUCCAAUGAACCUCAGCACCGUUUUGGCCAUUGAUGCAGCCAACAACUAGCUAAUCCUGCUGCAGAAACUGCAUCAUCUCAUUUUAGUAUUGCAAUUAAUGCAACUUUUGUGUUUGUGAUAAUGUCUUGAAGAUUUAUUUGGAGUCACUGUACUCUUCAAGCUGUUAAUUAGUAUUUAGGAGUGUGAUUGUUUGCGAAAUUGUCUCGAACUUGUGGGUUACUAUGUGGUAUUGAGUGAGUGAGGAUAGUUAAGCACCGUCUUUGUUCUCAUUCUCUUUGGCAGAACAGAAAAGCUGCAUAAUAAUUAUUGAUAAUUAAGUGAUUUUUUGUGUUCAAAUAGUUUCCUCUUUUCCUCUCUAGUAUUAAGUAACAAUGCAACCUUGCAGUUGAAUUAUGAGGCAUCAUUUGGCUUUAUCUCUAAUGGAAAAGGUCAUUGCCUAAUCACAUAUCUUGCAAAUGAUGGCACAAAUUAGGUUCAAGUCAAUUAAGCCAUACCCCUAAGUCAAAGACUCAAAGCAACUUUAUGAUCAAAUUAGAGACGACAAAACCCUAAUUAUCAUGAAGCACAGAGAAAUUUAAUCACAAAUAACAUAAUCAACAAAAAAAUAUGUAAUCAUAUAAAUACAAAACUAAGAUUCUGAUCGCAUAGUCUCGAAGAUUCCAUACCCAGUCACCCAAGCUUGGCAUGAUGAAUGAGCUUUCCAAACAUAACCCUAAAACCGACUCGGGGGCGGAACCCACAAGGACAAAGAGCAUGACGAAACGUACCACAACCAUAAAUGGCGCCACCUUCCUGAUAUCAUAAAUGGUCAUUGCCUUAAUACCAUGAUUAAGGUCCUUAGAGUAACAACCCAUAAUGUUAAUCACAUGGGGGAACCAAAUAACGCUAAACCUCUAAUAAGGGACCUCCCCAAAAGAGAUAGACAUCUUCUUUCACAAACGAAUUUUGGAACCUAAGUUGAGUACUUCUUUCAUUUGAUAAAAUACCCAUAAUUUAAGGAAAACAAAAAUUAAAGUAAAAAUAAUGGAAAAGAAAUAAUAAAAGGAGAGUAAAUGAUCUAAAUCAUGAGUCUAGGUGAAAAACAAACAAAACAACAACGCCAGCAAGUCUAAGCAUAGGAAAAAAUAUUACAUAAAAAGGGGAAAACUUCUAAAUACGCAUAAGAGACUUCUCGCGUGAAGCUUGUCGAGUUAAAAAUUCUUGUAUCCAAGUUGACCGUGAAGUUUCAAAAUAAAAAAUUAUUAAGUCUGGUUUACAUGUAGCUUUUCUAAAAAAGUAAAAAUUGUUUUGACCCUAAACAUGUCAAUUUUCUCUACCCUCUGCCCUUUAUAAAAAAAGGUAGCCCCAAGGUAUUCUUACCGCUGGUAGCUAUGAGACUAAUCCCUCGAGGCUCUAAGAUCAUGUUAACUAUUAAGUGAGUAGGCAUCUCCCAACAAAUGUUUUUCCAUACGCCAAGUAUUUCUUUCAUUCAUUUCCUUCCUUUCAGCCUUUUGCCCUAGCAUGAAAUUAACAAGGACACGAACAUAUUUUUAGUUUUUCAGUAUUAGUAAUUAGAAGAGAACGUAUAAAUGUAUAUAUUUUAUACUCGUGACUAGUGUAAUGCAAUCCAUCACCUGUGAAAUGACUAUAUUGGUUGAAUAGUAAAAGCAUGAAGCAUCAAACACAGGGAAACACACUUCUUUUCACUUUUUGCUUCUUUUUUCUAAUUCUACUAAUGCAUUUGGGCGGUGACAUAAUUUCCUGUAGCAUCUUCACUACCUAAGUUGUCUCUUUAAGAUACACUCCUCACAUGUCAUGCACUUUUAGAACUAGAAAACCUGAGUCGAAUCAAAUCCCAUUAAAGUCUCCCUAGAGUUUAUGCAAGGAGAUAGUACUCCCCCAACCAAGUAUAGUAGCAAGUGAUAUCUGCCAGAAAUAGUUCUUUACUUUUUCCUUUUUUGUUUUUAAGGAAAAAUUAAAAAAGUAGUGAAAACCAGCUAUAAAAAGCCUUGAAUUCAUGAAUGAUGUAUCCACAUACACAUUGUUGUUGAAAGCUUGUUUUCAACUUCCUCAAUGACAUUGCCAUUUCCCUCAAGUUUUGUUCCCUUGGUGAUUAUACUUUUAGUAGUAGUAGGGGUCAUUUUCCCAGGAGCUGAGGCCAAGUCCAAGUCGUCCAAGCCUAAGCCCAAGCCCAGCAGGGCUUUCUUUGUGUUUGGAGACUCACUUGUUGACAGUGGCAACAACAAUUACUUGGCCACCACUGCAAGGGCUGAUUCCCCUCCUUAUGGAAUUGACUACCCAACUCGCAGGCCCACGGGUCGUUUCUCCAAUGGCCUCAACAUUCCUGAUCUUAUUAGUUAAGUAUCAUUCUCCAUCAACUAACUAUUUAUGAUUUUUUUUUAUCAAGUGAAUUGGUUAAAUUGGUUCUGAAAGUGAUUGACACGGCAAGUUCAUCUAUGGACUUAGGAAAUACAACACAUGGCCCCUGAUUGUGGUCAGAUAAAACAUCGAUUAAGUUAGUCCCCACAUUUUAUACAAUUAGGGACCCCAAAUAUAGUAAUUAUUUCUUCAAGUGACGAACUUACCGACAUCCAACACUUUCAUGAAUCAAUUUAGCUAUUCACUCUUUUUUUUAUCACUUGUUUGAGAUUAGUUUCAUUCUCAAGCUUCACUUCCAUAUCAUCCAAUAGGGACAUACUUUUGGAUGAUAAUAUAGACAUUUGGAUGUCAUAGAAGAGAAUUGAUUUCAACUCAAAAUAAUUUUUGUGUAGAAGUUAAGUAGAAUAGGUUUUGAGUUGAACAUAUAUAGUCAAUCUUAAUUUCACUACAUUACCUUGAAAAAUAUUUUUUUUCUUAAAAGUAUUCAAACAUAAAUCACUUCACUUUAAGUUUAUUUCAGUUCAACUCACCUUUACCACAAUCAAUUUUACCAAAAUCAACUUUAUUUAAAAUCAAUUGUGACAACACUGAUCGAAACAAACACUUAGUGCAUGUCUUGAAAUUCUUCUAUAAUUGUUUAUAAAGUCAGAAUCAAUUAUUAAAAGAAGCUUUGUGUUUCAUAAUUGAUUCUAAGAAAAAAAAACACAUGCAAUUGUACAUGUAGACAUGACAUUUGUGUAUUGCAUCUAAUUAUUGUUAACUAGCUGCUUUGAUUAUUAUCAGGCCAACAACUAGGUGCUGAGUCUGUCCUGCCAUACUUGAGUCCACAACUGAGAGGUAACAAGCUUCUACUUGGAGCCAAUUUUGCUUCAGCUGGAAUUGGCAUUCUUAACGACACCGGAACUCAGUUUGUAAGUACAAUAAAAUGCAUACCACCAUAUAUGAUCCACACUGCAAGCUAGUAUAAUGCAUAUAUAAUCACCUUUUUUUGUUUGUUUAAUUAAUUUUCUUCAUUUAAAAUAUGCUGGUUAAUUAGCAAUUGUGGCUUAAUAAUUUGCAGCUAAAUAUAAUCAGAAUGUAUAGACAAUUGGACUAUUUUGAAGAGUAUCAGCAUCGACUGGCCUCUCAAAUUGGAGUAACAAAGACCAAGGCACUGGUGGAUAAAGCAUUGGUCCUUAUCACUGUUGGUGGAAACGAUUUUGUUAACAACUACUACUUGGUGCCUUAUUCUGCAAGGUCUCGCCAGUAUUCACUACCAGAUUAUGUUAAAUUUCUCAUUAUAGAGUUCCGUAAACUCUUGCAGGUAAUUAUCAAGUCUUAUUACAUAACCUUUUUGAGCACAAAGAAUAAUAAUAUAUAGUAACUUUUCUAGCUGAAUGAACUUCACUUAUGUGGUCUUGCUUCUUUGUGUGACCAUUUAAUGCAGAGAUUAUAUGAUUUAGGAGCUCGCAGAGUUAUUGUGACUGGCACUGGACCAUUGGGUUGUGUUCCUGCAGAAUUGGCAAUGAGAGGAACAAAUGGAGGAUGUUCUGCUGAACUUCAACGAGCUGCAGCAUUGUACAACCCUCAACUACUGCACAUGAUACAAGCUCUAAACAAGAAAUUUGGCAGAGAGGUUUUUGUUGCAGCAAACACAGGACAAAUGCAUAACGAUUUCAUCACUAACCCCAAAGCAUAUGGUAGUACUCUAACUUCUAUAUAUACCAACUUCUUAGUGUAUAGUCAUUUUGGCCUUUAAAGAUAUGAGUUCCGUCAACGUAAUUCUUGAAAGAUUGAAAAAAGAAGAAUAGUUACGAAAAGACUGACCAUUUAAUCAUUGAAAGAUGAAAAUCACAAUCUAAAAAAUGACGGUUCAUUUUAGUCUCUGAAAGACUAAAUUGAAAUUUAGUUUCAUCUUUCAAUGACUAUUUUAUCUAUUUCUUUAGCAGAGGGCAAAGGUGACCGAACUGAUAUAUUUCUAGGACUAAAUGACUACAAUUCUAAGCAAACAAUUUAAAGCACCAACUAACAAGUAUAUAAAUAUGUGAUUGUUUGUUGGGCAGGAUUUACUACAUCAGAAAUUGCUUGUUGUGGGCAAGGACCCUACAAUGGGAUUGGGCUGUGCACACC
Molecule: long non-coding RNA, 14232 nt
Filed under: Lotus japonicus
Lineage: Eukaryota; Viridiplantae; Streptophyta; Magnoliopsida; Fabales; Fabaceae
Description: long non-coding RNA (LJAP_LNC001293)
Source: RNAcentral